Molecule: non-coding RNA, 88 nt
Filed under: Enterovibrio nigricans
Lineage: Bacteria; Pseudomonadati; Pseudomonadota; Gammaproteobacteria; Vibrionales; Vibrionaceae
Also listed under: 1 other name
Description: c-di-GMP sequence
Rfam family: c-di-GMP-I riboswitch aptamer
About the family: GEMM was predicted in a large-scale screen for bacterial structured RNA regulatory elements. Genes associated with GEMM are involved in a diverse array of functions, including chemotaxis regulation, signal transduction, secretion and chitin.
Source: RNAcentral
AGAAUAAAAAGCCAAACCUACCGCGAGGUUGGGACGGAAAGCUUCAGAUCUCUCUAAUCAAUCAUGGACAGAUGGCUGAGCUACCUCG